RNAcentral lists this ribosomal RNA (485 nucleotides) under uncultured bacterium. RNAcentral's name for it is "partial 16S ribosomal RNA". It matches the Rfam family "Bacterial small subunit ribosomal RNA", at positions 30 to 507 of the family's 1533-position model. The record is from RNAcentral.
UUGAACGCUGGCGGCAUGCCUUACACAUGCAAGUCGAACGGCAGCACGGGUGCUUGCACCUGGUGGCGAGUGGCGAACGGGUGAGUAAUACAUCGGAACAUGUCCUGUAGUGGGGGAUAGCCCGGCGAAAGCCGGAUUAAUACCGCAUACGAUCUACGGAUGAAAGCGGGGGACCUUCGGGCCUCGCGCUAUAGGGUUGGCCGAUGGCUGAUUAGCUAGUUGGUGGGGUAAAGGCCUACCAAGGCGACGAUCAGUAGCUGGUCUGAGAGGACGACCAGCCACACUGGGACUGAGACACGGCCCAGACUCCUACGGGAGGCAGCAGUGGGGAAUUUUGGACAAUGGGCGAAAGCCUGAUCCAGCAAUGCCGCGUGUGUGAAGAAGGCCUUCGGGUUGUAAAGCACCUUUGUCCGGAAAGAAAUCCUUGGCCCUAAUACGGUCGGGGGAUGACGGUACCGGAAGAAUAAGCACCGGCUAACUACGUG